This 290-nucleotide long non-coding RNA is filed under the name Homo sapiens (human). RNAcentral's name for it is "non-protein coding lnc-KLF10-2:3". Lineage: Eukaryota; Metazoa; Chordata; Mammalia; Primates; Hominidae. The record is from RNAcentral.
CACUUUUGUUAACAGUAUUUCUCUUUUAUUCUGUUAUAUAGUGGAUGAUAUACACAGUGGCAAAACAAAAGUACAUUGCUUAAAAUAUAUAGUGAAAAAUGUCACUAUAUCUUCCCAUUUAACAUUGUUUUUGUAUAUUGGGUGUAGAUUUCUGACAUCAAAACUUGGACCCUUGGAAAACAAAAGUUUUAAUUAAAAAAAAUCCUUGUGACUUACAAUUUGCACAAUAUUUCUUUUGUUGUACUUUAUAUCUUGUUUACAAUAAAGAAUUCCCUUUGGUAUAUGGAAUG